Molecule: long non-coding RNA, 455 nt
Organism: Vitis riparia (riverbank grape)
Lineage: Eukaryota; Viridiplantae; Streptophyta; Magnoliopsida; Vitales; Vitaceae
Exons: 2
Source: RefSeq, a predicted model, not a curated record
AUCCAGGGCUCUGCGUUUCAGCACUCAAUCGUCCCCUUCUCCAAACGCUGCGUCUCACGCCGCGUAUCGGUCGAUCUCUCGGUUCAAGAUUGUUCAUCCAUUGGGCUGGAUUUGGUUGCUUGGAAUUCUACUAUAAUGUCCAGGUUCUAAACAAUUGGGCUGGAUUUGGUUGCUUGGAUUCCCAGAACCCUAAUGUCUCUACGAAAAGCCCCACUUCCUAGGCUCCUCCUCAAUAAUGUGUCUUGCAUGAGGAACGGGCACCAAAUCCUGCGGCAUACAAAUGUCUCUCUUCAUGAUGGUAGUGCACUGGUGCUGUCUGGUUAUCCAAAUAACAGUAAAUUAGAUUUGCACAAUAUACAAAUCACGCGCUUUUAGAGAGGGGAAUCUUUGUGUCACAUCACAAUAUAACCAUCUUAUCUUACCCACUUUGUUAUCCAUCGACACGUGUUGUACUA